Molecule: ribosomal RNA, 571 nt
Filed under: Salmonella enterica subsp. enterica serovar Infantis
Lineage: Bacteria; Pseudomonadati; Pseudomonadota; Gammaproteobacteria; Enterobacterales; Enterobacteriaceae
Also listed under: 3 other names
Description: partial 23S ribosomal RNA
Rfam family: Bacterial large subunit ribosomal RNA
Source: RNAcentral
AGACCCGAAACCCGGUGAUCUAGCCAUGGGCAGGUUGAAGGUUGGGUAACACUAACUGGAGGACCGAACCGACUAAUGUUGAAAAAUUAGCGGAUGACCUGUGGCUGGGGGUGAAAGGCCAAUCAAACCGGGAGAUAGCUGGUUCUCCCCGAAAGCUAUUUAGGUAGCGCCUCGUGAAUUCAUCUCCGGGGGUAGAGCACUGUUUCGGCUAGGGGGCCAUCCCGGCUUACCAACCCGAUGCAAACUGCGAAUACCGGAGAAUGUUAUCACGGGAGACACACGGCGGGUGCUAACGUCCGUCGUGAAGAGGGAAACAACCCAGACCGCCAGCUAAGGUCCCAAAGUCAUGGUUAAGUGGGAAACGAUGUGGGAAGGCCCAGACAGCCAGGAUGUUGGCUUAGAAGCAGCCAUCAUUUAAAGAAAGCGUAAUAGCUCACUGGUCGAGUCGGCCUGCGCGGAAGAUGUAACGGGGCUAAACCAUGCACCGAAGCUGCGGCAGCGAACGUAUCACUUAAAGCGAUUCAGCGGGUUACGAUUGACGGAGCGAAGCGACGUCAAAGCGUAUACAAAG